ACAUCUGCUUGGCUUCAUCAAUGGAUUCCUCUGCUCAGAUCUACAGCUUGUAUACUUCAUUCCCACAGUACUCUUUCAUGAAUUAAAGGAGACUCAUUAUCCAUCUCCGUGGCCCUAUCAAAAGAAUAAUUCUUCCCCAUUCGGCAUCUCCUCAUCCCUCUUUCAUCUCAGGCUUGACUCUUUCUUUUACUGACCUUGAUGUUUUCAUGUUGUCUCUCUACGUGUCACUUUGUUCUCUUCUUUCCAUGGAGAGAGGAUUGAGGUCUGCAGGUCUCAUCUGUGUAGUGGAAGGGUUAAAUCUUGCCCAGGCCUGUGGAUGGUCAUGUGAGCUCUGCUGGGGGCAGCAGCUGGAGCUGUUUAUGCUGAAUGAUUUGUUGCUGCACUGGGCAAGGGCGACUAUGAUCUCAGGAGCCAGGCCAGCACUCAGAGGCUGCACACCGCAGGCUGAUGUGGUUGUGCCUGGCUGACAUCCUCACUGAUACCAGCCAUUCUGAAGCUACUCAUGCAGAUGCAGCAGCAGUAACUGCCCAGAUCAUAUCUCCUCAUGUUCACUCAGCAUCUCAGAAGCUUUCUGGAAGAUAAGGAAGAAAUCAUGACAGCACUUGUCAGUAAAUUUUGUACAGGAUUUCCAAGUCCAUUUAAAAUAACAGGUGGUAACAAUAUUGGCAAACAUGUCUUUCUUGGACCAGUGUGCUUCAGAAAUCAUUCAAGGAAAUGGUGUUCAACUUUUAAUGGAAAUGCUCUUUGAAAAAUCCUCCUCAGGAAAUCCAGCAGAUGUUGCAGCUUGUGAGCGAGUCCAGCAGAAAUCUGCAGUUACCCUGGCACAGCUCAGCCGAGAUCCUGAGGUGGCAGAUGCAGCCUUAAAACUCAGCUGUAAGGAUGUGCCUCCUACUUAAUGGCACUGUAAGGAGGCAGCCUUGUGGAGACUAGCACUUAUGAGUUGUGAUGGACUGGAAGAGUCAGAUUUUCAGCAGCUGGUAAAGCCCAGACUCAUGGAUUCUUUUCUGCUGUGCACAAACAUGGAAGAGAGCUUUGUAUGAAUGGGAGCCAAAAACCUUUGAACGGUAACGAAGGUGAUAGGUAUACAGUAAGAUAACACAUGAACAAUUUUA
Long non-coding RNA from Cyanistes caeruleus (blue tit), 1112 nucleotides. RefSeq lists it as uncharacterized. The record is from RefSeq and is a predicted model, not a curated record. Lineage: Eukaryota; Metazoa; Chordata; Aves; Passeriformes; Paridae.